AUGAAGAGAUGAGAGGCCGAUUUAAUAUAACUCAGUCACUGGGAGAAAAAACAAGGAAACAUUGCCAAGUAGAGACGGUACCAUUUGAUUCAAUCUCUUUCCCACAAGGGCUGCUCAAACUGAAAAUGCUGCUGACGUAUUUGGAGAAGCAGUUUAUUUUCACUCUCUGCCAUACCCUUGCUUUGACGCUAUUUUAUUGCACCUGCUAUCCAAAUCUGUCUCUAAGAAAUACUUCCACGCUGCUCAAGUUCUAAUCAUACCAACUCCGACAGGCUGUUGAAAGAGGUGUUUCUGUGGGUUAAGACAGCCUGGAAACUUAAGGACAAGUUUGAGCUCCACAGGGAAAAGCUGGCCCACGGAAGCCUGGUCAUUGAUUCUAAUUCAGGAAGCGUGAGUUGACCACAAGGCACUCAAAGUGGUGCUGCCUGUGACAUUGGCAUAUGAGUCUCUCCCCACUCCUUCCUUUUGCAAUAGGGCGCCAUAUGAUACAAGACUUUGGAGUCAGGCUGCCCCAGGUUCCACUUCCAGCGCCACGACUUACCCACCCACCUUGGGUACGAUCUUUAACUGCUCUGAGCUUCAGCUUCCUCAUUGUCAAUUGGGGAUAAAAGUACUUACUGUAAAGAGUUUUUGUGAAGAUUAAAUGAGAUAAUGCAUAUAAAGUGCUUAGCAAAGCGACAUCUUGGAAAGGCUUACAACAUAUUAGUGGCGCUGGUGUUGCUACUGUUAGCCUCUAACCACCAGCAUCCAGUUUGCUUUCGCCAUUCAUUCUAUGCACCUUGAAAGGGGUAACUCCUCCUCCCCUUCCCACAUAGCCACAGAAUUUGUAAAUGAUAAAUGAUGGCUCCAGGUUGAACCACUCAAACCACACAUUACAAGAACACUGAAAAGUUCUCCACACCACGCCGGUGGGCAGUGUUUAAAGGAAGAAAUCAAGUUGAUCCUCCAUUCUUCCUUUUCCCCACACUGGAAAAGAAAAGGCAGAGGCCUUUUACUUUCCCCUGGACACACGGGAAAUGACUGUCCUUGAAAGUCAGCAGCAGCAUCCAGGAAUUGGUUAGAAAUUCAAAUAAUCACCUUCCACUCCAAAUCACAUCUACUGAAUCCAAAUCUUUAGGGGUAGGGCCCAGGAACUGGAAUUUUAAUGAGUACUCCAGGGAAUUCUUAUGUAGGAUAAGGUCUGCGAAGCACUAGGUUGCGACACUGAGGUUCCCAAACCCAGCUGAGCAUCAAAAUUGCCUGGGAAGUUCAGUUAAAAUUUUAGAUUUAUGGCAUUACCCCAUCUCUGCAGAUUCAGAAUUUCCAGGGGUGAGGUCUAGAAUCUAUUUUUAAAAAGCUCCCCACGUGAUUCAUGAGCCACUGGCUAAAAGAGAGGAUAGCGCUGGUGUGGUCAGACUAAGACACGGAGUAGUUGGUUCCAGAGAAGUGAUUUAACAAAUUUAUUCUCACCCAAGCACUUUGCCCUGUUUUCAAUAUACAACUCGGGUGCUCUCUAAUCACAGAGCAGAAGCUGACCACAUCAUGUGAGACCUACUGGAGACAGGCCAUAGAUACUGGGAAAGAACCUGGAGCUCAUCUGGUGAAGAUCUGGCACCUCUGACUGGUAAAAGGGGAAACCAAGGCCCAGAUGGAGGCAGUGACUUGUCCAAAGUCCCCCUCCAGAGACCCGGAAGCAGCUGAAUAGGGGCAGUGCUGAGUCUCGAACUCAGGUGUCCUGGCUUUAGUCCAAUGCCUUUUUAAAAAAGAACUCUGAUCUUCUCUUGAGGAACACAGACUCAGUCUCUGGCCUGUGGUUAAAAGCAUGGCUCAGAGAGAACGAGUGGGAACCCCAACUCUGUCACUCACUAGGUGUGAGACCUUCAGCAAGUCUCGAACUCUCUACGCCUCUGUGCCCUUAUUUGCAAAAUGAGUUGUUUUGAGCAUUAGGUUGUGGGGAGGAUUUGGGUGAGAUAAUGCAUACAUAAAGUACUUAUUAUAGUCACAGGCAUAUAAUAAGAGUUCAGUAAAUGGUAUCUAUAUGAAGUCAAAUUAAUUUUGUUUUCAGUUCACAAAACAGCUGCUUGAUUGAAAAGCAGUCGUUUCCUGGUUAAGGUGACCAUUUAUUCAAACAUACGUACUAAGGUAUCUACCAUAUCCAAGGCUCAAAUAUGGGAGAGAAAUGAAUUGAUGCUGAGCCUCCUGCCAAGGAGAAAAGGAUAGAACAUGGGUACCAAGAACUAUAAUAACAAGGGAGAGCAUGCCAAGCAUCAUACGAGAUACAGAUAAGUGUCUACGAAGGUGGAGAGAGACAGAAAGGACAGCAGCCUGAAGGACUAGGAAGAGGUUUCCUGGGGAAGAAGAUAUGUAAGUUACUCUUUAAAAGAGGGUAUGAUCUGAGCAUGUGAAGCUGGGUGAGAUGACCAAGUAAAUUCAAAGGCCCAAAGGCAAAGAGAUAGGACUAGAAUGGAAGGAAAAUUCAGAGACAGAAGCAAAAGCAGAUUGCAAGAAAUACAGGAUUUGUGGAGAAUAGCUUGAGAGAUGGGAAUGGAUUUGCGGAUGUGAGAGAGGUGAGAAGGUAGAUUCUAAAUGAUCUGAAGUGUGUGAUGAAGGAAUUUCUAGUUGUCCACUAGGCAAUGGGGAGCUAUGCAAAGUAAGCAAAUAGGGUACCAAGGAGAUCUUGCUCCUAGUCAUCACUGAUCUGUUAGUGGUGUGUGGCAGCGAUUAGAGAGAAAAGACUGAAGAAGCACCUAGAUGGAAAUAUUUCUUAGACAUCAGUCCUAAGGAGAGAGGGGGAGAGAAGCAGAGAAGGCUAGAAUUAGGGUAGGGAUGUACAGAAGAGGCGAGAGACAUAUCUGAGAUGGAAUUAAGGGAAACUGAUAACUGGCUGGUGUGGGGUCAGGGGAAGGGGACGGCUGGCAUGGCCUUGUCUAAAGAGUGAAAGAUUCCCUGGGUGGGCCACUGGAACAUCAUGAUACUACUGCUACAGAAAUGGUAAAGGUAAGUCUUGGGAGGAAAGACAAAUUCCGGAAGGCAGGUAAAGGGACGAGGGUUUUAGAGCUAGACUAACCGCUUAAGAUAGUAACAGCCAGCGCGCAUAUCCUUAAGAUGUAUGCCGACUCUUUUCUCUCCCAAAGACGCAGAGUGCAAAUUAAACGCAAUAUAAAUGGGGUUAUCGUGGUGUAGGCGGUCCUUUCUGAAGUCCCGUCCCUCAGUUCCCAGAGUUACCACUGGCAGUCCCACGUGUGAGCUGCCACCUAAAAUUGCCAAUGGAAAUUAAGGUCCUGCGCAGCAAAAUAUUUAUACAACUGCAGGGGCCACUCAGCAGGGUGCGGAGGCGGGGAUGGAGGAGGAGUAAAGGCUGUUUACAAACUUGACGUACACACGCAGCCCUACCCUUAAGGUUCUGGAAUUGGGGGUUACCAUGUCGGGAUCUGGGGACGCUCUGAUGCCCCGGGUUCUGAAGCCUGACUUAUGAGCACCGGGGCCAUAACCUUUCGAAGCACAGGAUUCCUGCGCUCUGGCCCUAGAUCUUGGGGCAGCGAUGACUCACUGCAACAGCCCCUGCUCCUUCGCCAAACUGCCGUCUCCGCCCACCCCCAAACCACGUCCACAGAGCGCUGCGGCUCCGGGCGCUUUGCUGGGGGCUAAAGGGUCUCAUCCCCCAUCCCUGUAUCCUAGCAGGCUAAACCUUCCCCCGCGCCCAGUCUUCAAGUUUGCCUCGCUCCCCACCGGACCUCUCCAUUGAGCAGCCGAGAUAGACGCGACAUCUAGACGGGGUACUCUGGAUCCACGAGCAGCGCGCGGACAAGGCAGCAGAGCGUCCGGGCUGAGAAGAGUCAAAAAGAACAGCUUACCUCCCAUUGACUUCAAAGGGAGCCUGGGGCUGGUGUGUGCAGCCGCAAAGUCCUGGAGGUGUGUUCAUCCAGCAAGUCUCGCCUCUGUUGAGAUUUAACUCUGUGCCUCGUGCUGAGCUAGAAGCUGAGGACCAGGGAAGAGCAGGACCCUCAUGGAACUUGUGGCUGGCGUGUUGUCGAGAGCUGGAACAUGCCACAACUUUGUAAUAUUGCUCUUCUACAUGGAUUUCCGUACACAGGGUCUCUAGGAGUCGGAACCAACUUGACAGCACUAACCACAAAAGCAUGGAUUUCUAUAUUCUAUCAUUCUUCUCAAGUAAAGCUUGGAUCUGCUCCUUUCCCUUUGAACACUGAGGGCUCCGUCUCCAAGUUCCUUUGCUAGAAGGCAUAUUAUGAAACGGGAUGUAUCGUCAGAGACGCAGGGCUGCUGUGUUUCACAUCUCCAGGCAGCACCAUUGGAUAUCAUUGUCUACGUGGAUAGUGCCCCUGGAACUGGGCAGUACACAGCCUGCACAGCCCCAUUCAGUGACCCCAUUUCAACAAUAUCUACUGGGAAAACUUGCAUUUUGAAAGAAGAUUCCAAUCAAGGAUGCAUCUUGACCUCAUUAGAAUUUUCACAUGGAAGGAAUUACACAUGGAAAGCCCAUUCUGGAGAAAAAACAAAACAAAACAAAAUGAAAAGCAAAAAGAAUCUGAAAGGAAAGGAGUGGUGAUGAAGCAUAAAGAUGGAGAAAUGUGCUAUCAAGCAGGAAGAAAAGCUUUCCAGUAAAAUGCUGAAUAAAAGAUGGGAAUACAACGUGAGAAUCAAGAAAUCUAAGAGACUGGAUGCCGAAGCAGAGGAAUGAAGCUCCCGGCUGAUAACAGAAGGUGCAGGAUAUCAAGAUCUGAAGGUGACUGCAGAGAAAGGUGUUACCACUCUCUGCCUGCCUCAGGCCCCUGUGCAGAUCUGGAACAAGUUCACUCAGCAAAGGAGAAGAGGAUGGAGAGGGCGUGUUGCAUUGCAGCUGGGUCCCCGCCGUACAAGAGGGUGCUGACUGGGAGCAAAGAAGAGGCGCUUUUCUCCUUUAACUGGCAGGUGAACAGCCUACUUCUAAGGAGGGAUGCCCAACUUGAGAACAUUUGUGAUCAUCAGCUUCUCGUGAAAGGAAAUCAAGUCAUAAAGCCAAGCCAGGGUGUCUCAGAACAAAGCAGAGAAUUUUCUGGAGUUGGGGGUAUGGGUGCAUGGAGCUGAGGAGCAAAUGCCAGAAGUCACAUCCAAUGACUGAGAUCUUCCCAAAACGAGGAGCAUUACAUGGGCAGAGGGCAUCAAGUCACAACGACAGAGUGGGCAGAGAAACCCAACAACAAAUAAAGGGUAUCAUGGUGAGCAGACGGUUAUUAACAGCAUCUACAAGAGCCCAUGCAGGUCUGCAGGCACUUGUAGCAAUUUGGCAUUAAAAGGUGCCAACAGGGUGGCCGGCCCCAUGGCCGAGUGGUUAAGUUCACGCACUCCGCUUCGGCGGCCCAGGGUUUUGCUGGUUUGGAUCCUGGGCACGGACAUGGCACCACUCAUCAGGCCUCGUUGAGGCAGCAUCCCACAUGCCACAACUAGAAGUACCCAUAAGUAGAAUAUACAACUAUGUACUGGGGGGAUUUGGGGAGAAAAAGCAAUAAAAACAAAAAAGAUUGGCAACAGUUGUUAGCUCAGGUGCCAAUCUUUAAAAAAAAAAAAAAAAGGUGCCAACAGGGAGGAGCAGAGAAAGCUCAGGUCACCAUAUGGCACUCGGUGCCUCAGGGAGUGAUAAUACAUGGAGUUAAUGAGAGGUGGGGAUAAAGAUUAACUAAAGACUAACAAGACCAUAGAAUUUAUUGCCCAAACAAGGCCAGGACAAUUUGGGGAGUGAAAGUGGGGACUAUGAAUAAUCAUACCAGGCAACUCAGCACAUAGGGGCUCUCCACCAAGAGCAAACAAUGCUAGAGCUGAACGUUGGCUCUCAUCAAGCCAUUGAGGCUAAGGGUUCAGGCUGUGGAGUCAACUGCCUUGGUUCAAACACGAACACUGCUACUUACUGACUGUGUGAUCUUGGGCAGGUUGUUUAACCUCUCUGUGCUGUGGGAAGCUGAGGCAGCUUUCCACAUGCCACAACUAGAGGGACCCACAAGUAGAAUACACAAUUAUGUACUGGGAGGAUUUGGGAAGAAAAAGCAGAAAGAAAAAAAUUUUUUUCUUGAAAUAAAGUGAAAUAACACUUGAUGGAGUUGAUAAACAAAAAUCUCAUUAAUUGCAAUGUCACUAAUUAAAAAAAAUUGUGUGGUUACUUGAACCAGUGUGAAGUAAAGUUAUGCAUACAAAAUUUGUGAUGAUCAUGCAUGUAAGUAUAAAUUUCCAAUAAUCCAGAUUACAGUUGGAAAAAUUAAACUCUAGGAGGAAGAACUUUCUAUGCCUUGUAGAAUAAACCUUUCAAUAUUCAUAUGUAACUAUUCUGCCAUUUUAUUAAAGCAGGAAACCUCAACAUUGAGGCAGUCCUUUCGCUGGUUUCAGA
Equus caballus (horse) is the source of this 6355-nucleotide non-coding RNA. Lineage: Eukaryota; Metazoa; Chordata; Mammalia; Perissodactyla; Equidae. The record is from RefSeq and is a predicted model, not a curated record.